GGGGAAUAUUGCACAAUGGGCGAAAGCCUGAUGCAGCAACGCCGCGUGAGUGAAGAAGGUUUUCGGAUUGUAAAGCUCUGUCAUCUGGGACGAUAAUGACGGUACCAGAUGAGGAAGCCACGGCUAACUACGUGCCAGCAGCCGCGGUAAUACGUAGGUGGCAAGCGUUGUCCGGAUUUACUGGGCGUAAAGGAUGUGUAGGCGGAUAUUUAAGUGAGAUGUGAAAUCCCCGGGCUUAACUUGGGGGCUGCAUUUCAAACUGGAAGUCUAGAGUGCAGGAGAGGAAAGCAGAAUUCCUAGUGUAGCGGUGAAAUGCGUAGAGAUGUGGAGGAACACCAGUGGCGAAGGCGGCUUUCUGGUCUGUAACUGACGCUGAGGCGCGAAAGCGUGGGGAGCAAAC
RNAcentral lists this ribosomal RNA (400 nucleotides) under uncultured bacterium. RNAcentral describes it as "bacterial SSU rRNA". It matches the Rfam family "Bacterial small subunit ribosomal RNA", at positions 356 to 773 of the family's 1533-position model. The record is from RNAcentral.